Molecule: long non-coding RNA, 7856 nt
Organism: Ictalurus punctatus (channel catfish)
Lineage: Eukaryota; Metazoa; Chordata; Actinopteri; Siluriformes; Ictaluridae
Source: Ensembl
CUUGGAAGGAAGUAGCAGUGAGAGGAUAAGAUAAAACCACGGUUCGUCAAACUGUUAACAGGAACUAGUCACAGGUAGGACCUAGACCUAGUCACGGGUAGGACCUAGACCUAGUCACGGGUAGGAUCUAGACCUAGUCACAGGUAGGACCUAGACCUAGUCACGGGUAGGACCUAGACCUAGUCACGGGUAGGAUCUAGACCUAGUCACGGGUAGGACCUAGACCUAGUCACAGGUAGGACCUAGACCUAGGACCUUAAAUCUUCUUAAUUAAGCACAAACAGUGCAGCAGGGACAAUUAAAGUUUGUUGAUGUCAGUGCACAUUUGAUGACACGCAGCUGAUUCACUGAUUCAGUCUAACAACUUUUAUUUAAAAAAAAAAAAGUGGUUUGGGAGGCGAAAGAGUCGACUCUUAUUUAUGAGUCAAAUAAUUCACCGACUCGCUAAUAAAGAGCUGGAAUUCCCCUCACUAUUAGGUACAUCUCACACCUUUUACAUCAUCGCUCCCAUUCUCACCGUAAGAAAUAGAAAUGGAGAGAGGGAAGCCUGUGUGUGUGUGUGUGUUUGGUGCGCACUCAGAAUCAUCUCUUCCCCCGAAAUCCUGAAUUAGGCGCUGUGUGUGAGCGAGUGGUUAAUUUUUUAUCUGUCUCAGUGGACACUCGUCUGCCAAAUCUGAGAGAAGUGAAUCUCUCUUAUCUCCUCCAGCACGCUGUGUGAGCUCCACUUCAUUAUUCAGCUGGCAGCGCAUGACACAGAGUCACACACACACCCCGAACACACCCUAUACAUCCGAGACCACACACACACACACACACACGCGCGCACGCAGCAACUUAUCUUUCCGAACAGCAGCUCGGACAGUAGCGCAGCUGCAAAUCACAGCUUCAUAUUAUUUAUUCGAAUACUUCAUUGUUUCUAUAGUAACAGCACAGACUUGUGAAGCGUGCGCGCCACAUAAACGGAUUAAAAAGCAUGUUUUUAAUGUCUCCAGCGUCAGUGGUUUGCAUCAGUCAGAGGUAAAGCUGUAAGUUUAAGUUUUUCGAGGUACUUCAGGACAGAGGAGUGACAAACUGCUUGUUUUUGUCUUAUAACUUUAAGAGAGAGGAAAAAAGAGAGGGCUGGUGAGAGAGGAGCAUUUAUAGCUGCUAUAACGUAAGGGAGGAUAUGAACUACACCAGUACUGUCACUAUAAACAGAUGAAAAGCAUGACGUGUCAGUCUUUGAUAAAUACGACACUGUUACAACUGCUGUAGGAAAGUAAUCAGUGUAGUAACAGUGACUCCUCUUCAUCAUUUGAUUCUUUUCCACGACACUGAGUCGUUUAUUCUUUACAUAACACACUCACACUUUAACCUAGUUAUCAGGUUUUUAUUUUGAAAUGAAACUGGAAGCAGUGGUAGUGUACUCGGAGGCGUACUGCUCUAAGAGCGUGUCAGAUGGUCGUCUCGCUCUCUUUCUCUGAUUACUCUGUGUCGUUUUUAACCAGGGAAUGAAUUUGAGGCGCUUAAGCCGCAGUUAGUGAGUCAUACUGACUUAAAUUAUGAGAUAGGAAUUCUGAAUAUAUCAUGAAAAAGCGAAAGAAACAUUUGUAGAAAGUUAAGGAACUCUUAAAGAACUGUUGUUUUUCAUUAGAUACAAAAAUAGACGAUGUUAUACAGAAAGACAGUGAGACAGACAGGCAGACAGAUACAGAGACAGCAGCAGCAGUUACACAGACAGACAGACAGGAAGGGAGGGAGAUGGACAGACAGAGAGAGAGACACAGGGAGACAGAUAGGCAGACAGGGAGACAGACACACAGUUAGGGAGAGAGACAGGGAGACAGACAGACAAGUAAACAGACAGGAAGGCAGACAGACAGUGAGUCAGACAGACAGGAAGACAGAGAGACAGACAGGAAGCCAGGCACAAAGCCAGACAGGAAACCAGGUAGAGAGACAGACACGGAGACAGACAGACAGACAGGGAGACAGACAGAAAGACAUUCAGGAAGACAGACAACAGGUAAACAGAUAGGAAGGCGGACAGACAGUGAGUCAGACAGACAGGAAGACAGAGAGACAGACAGGAAGCCAGGUAGGGAGACAGACAGGGAGACAGACAGGGAGACAAACAGAAUGACAGACAGACAGUGAGUCAGACAGACAGGAAGCCAGGCACAAAGCCAGACAGGAAACCAGAUAGAGAGACAGACACGGAGACAGACAGACAGACAGGGAGACAGACAGAAAGACGUUCAGACAACAGGUAAACAGAUAGGAAAGCAGACAGACAGCGAGACAGAUAGACAGGAAGCCAAACAGACAGACAGGAAGCCAGGCACAAAGCCAGACAGGAAACCAGAUAGAGAGACAGACACGGAGACAGACAGACAGACAGGGAGACAGACAGAAAGACGUUCAGACAACAGGUAAACAGAUAGGAAAGCAGACAGACAGCGAGACAGAUAGACAGGAAGCCAGGCAGACAGACAGGAAGCCAGACAUAAAGCCAGACAGAUAGCCAGGUAGGGAAACAGACAGAAAGACAGUCAGGACAGACAGACAGUGAGACAGACAGACAGGAAGACAGGGAGACAGACAGGAAGUCAGACAGGUAGACAGACUGUCUAGUUGUAGAGUAACUGUAUUUUCACUCUGCAGUAGAUCAGUGUGAAUAUGGAAUUAGAGUUGUAGUGUAAUGUGCUUUGUUGCCGGUGCGUAUGCAGCUGUUGUUUAUCAAUCACUACAAUAAAAAGCAGUGGAUUCAUACUUCUCUUUUCUCCACAAACAUACUAAAUACUUUAUAAACGCCAAGAGUGUAUGAGCGUGAUCUAAUUGAUCUGUAGUACUUAUAUACAGCAUAUGUUAAUUAGUCUUUAAUUCAUAUGAUCUAAAAGUUUAAAAAUGGCCCCAGAUUAUUCGCAUUGUUUAGGAGUGAGGGUGACCAGACGUCCCGCUUUGUGUCGUAAUGCACAGCUUUUCAAUCCUUUCUCCCACGCCCCCCAACUUGAGGCGAUGUCCCGCGUAUUGACUGGAAAUAAAGAGUCUAAACUACUCCGACGUGCGAAGGUCGUUUCAUAAACUUUUUUUUUUUUUUUUUACAGUGGCUGUAAAGAAAAUAUUGAAGCCUGUCAUUAAAGGGCUGUCAGCUGUCACUCAAACUGGACACACCUGAGGUCAAGCCACAGAAAUCCUUUUUUAUUCCACUUACUUUUUUUAAGCAUUAAUCUUUCUCUUUGUUGCAUCCUUUCAUACAAAAGACAUAAAUAUGAAUAAAUAUGAAUGUGCUGAGAGGACACGCUUCUUAUUCAUUUAGAUAGAUGGCCUUUGGGCGUCGGGAAUACGUCCCACGUUGUCCCACACGAACUUACUACUUGUCCCGCAUUUGUUCCGUUUGCAUCCGGUCACCCUAUGAGGACUGGCUCAGGCGUUUAGAGGACGAAUUAGACUCGCACAUCACGCCUCUAACGACUGCGUGUUUAACAGCACCACUAACACACAUAGAUUUUCCCAUUAACUUCUGAUUCAGGCCGCUGUAAUUUACAAGUGACUGAUACAGUGAAUACGUCGUAACUCAGCCGUGAAGCGUCUCCAUCACUCGUCCCGGUGCAGAGGUAGUGACACUCAUCACACAGGUCCAAUUCUUCUUAAUUAAAACGUAAUCAGACUUCUGACACAUUCAUUUAUGAUCUCCUGAGUGUGUGGAUGUUUCUGCACUCCUUCUUCCUGUUCUGUAUUUAUAGCUCCUGCACUUCGAUUCAUCACUGUGCGACGGUCACAUACGCACAUACGCGUCCCUCGGAACGAGCCGUCACUAUGGGAACAGUAACGUGUUAGGACGAGCGCACGGAUAUAGACCUGCGCUACUGUCCGAGCCGCUGUUCUAGAAAAUGAAUCAACACCUGACGACCAAUCGGGUUUGAGAAUUCAACAGCAUCAUGGGAUAUGAAUGCACAAUGUAAGCAAAUAUGUUUUGCACACUGGAUUUGGAAAUAAUAGGUUUGCGCUUCUUGGAUCUUGAGAAGAGUACGUGAGCAAAUUUAGAUGUGAAGAGUGAAAGUACUGUGUGUACGCUCUGAAACACUAGCCAAGGUUUCGUUUCUUCUCAGAGUAUACAUCGUGUAACCGUAACACUUUGUGUUGUUUUGUGCUCCUUGAACAUCCUGUCCGGAGACAUCUCCUUCCACCCUGCUCAAUAAUGCACGGCCUGCACGACUUAUUCAGGGCAGUGAGCCUUAAGGAAACACUUUAGCCCCAAACACUAAUGUUAUUAAUAAUGAAUGACAGCCAGUUGGGAACAGUUAGUGCUAUGCAAAUGAGAGAGGGCUAAUAGGCCAACCGCUGGGUUUCAAUCAUCGUUAACUCUGUUAGCAUUUUGGGGUGAACUUUUAAGGUUGAGGAAAUUCAUUAGCCCACUUUCGUACGUGUAUGUACAGAGCUGGCUUGGGGCUGCAGUUUGAGACGUAAAAGUGUUUCCUCAGAAGUGUCCUCACACCCGCUUUCAACAGAUUAAACACUGGGUACAAGGUGCUGCUGUGAGGAUGACACGUUCAACAUGGAAAAUCAGAAUGAAAUAAACUAAUGGUCCAGUCUGAUCUGGUACUGAUCCAGAGUCUCAUUCUGCUAUGCAGGUGGCAGCAGUGAUUGAUCAACAGGAAAGGAAAUGCAGGAAUGAAUGGUUUAUUUAUUUUAUUUUUAUUGCUUUAAACUUUAUUAAAUAUAAAACAGAGCUGAUAUAUUUAUUAACAUUUUGGGGCUGGUAUUGUGGGUGGGAACUGUGGUCUAACUGGUUGCAUUAUGCAUGGGAAGUGCAUUCUGACUGGUUAAAGUAACUGCUUUCUGAUUGGGUAUAAUGGCAUUACAACCAGGAAGUGUGUUCUGAUUGGUUACAGUGGCAUUAUAACCAGGAAGUGUGUUCUGAUUGGUUACACUGACGUUACAGGGAGGAAGUGUGAUCUGAUUGGUUACAGUGGCAUUACAACCAGGAAGUGUGUUCUGAUUGGUUACACUGACGUUACAGGGAGGAAGUGUGUUCUGAUUGGUUACAGUGGCAUUACAGGGAGGAAGUGUGAUCUGAUUGGUUACACUGACGUUACAGGGAGGAAGUGUGUUCUGAUUGGUUACACUGACGCUACAGGGAGGAAGUGUGUUCUGAUUGGUUACACUGACGUUACAGGGAGGAAGUGUGUUCUGAUUGGUUACAAUGACGUUACAGGGAGGAAGUGUGAUCUGAUUGGUUACACUGACGUUACAGGGAGGAAGUGUGUUCUGAUUGGUUACACUGACGUUACAGGGAGGAAUGUGCUCUGAUUGGUUACACUGACGUUACAGGGAGGAAGUGUGUUCUGAUUGGUUACACUGACGUUACAGGGAGGAAGUUUGAUCUGAUUGGUUACACUGACGUUACAGGGAGGAAGUGUGUUCUGAUUGGUUACACUGACGUUACAGGGAGGCUGUUUAUGAUGAACAGAGCAGUGAGUUCAUGAAUUAAUGAUCUAGAUCGAGCUGUCUUUAGCCGGAGUAAAGCAGUGGACAGGUGGAUUUGCAGGUUUUUCAGCUCCAUUCCGUCUCGGUGAGCAGCAGGAAAGCGCCACAGCUCUAUAAACAGGAUCAUUCUGACCCACAGCUGCACUUUCCCGUCCCUCAGAGCAUUCACGCCUCAGUUUUUAUCCUCUAAAGUGCAUUCUUGGCGCAGUUCACAUUAAUGAGACACGGCAUGUAUGGCCUGCAGCACAAUGCUCGACUUAGGGAGUUUUUCCUCGCCACCGUCACCACCGGUUCGCUCAAUAGGCAUAAAUUCACACUCCUAAAAUCUGUAUCCUGUGUAUAUAUGUUUCUGCAAAGCUGCUUUGAGACAACGUCCGUUGUUAAGAGACCUAAAGUGUGUUCGUGUGACCUUCGACCCUCCUGUGAGGAGAGCACUCGUGUUAAUCUGGUCUGAAGCCGCGUCCUCCGUGGCUUCUCCCUCGUCAGUUAUGCACACAUUAAUAUUUUAUGAGUGCAGCUGGAUAAUGCAGCACACGGCACGGCAUCAAAGCAGGACAUAAUGACACCGGAUUACAGACACAGAGACAGACAGGAAGAGACAGCGAUAGAUCGAGAGAUAGAAAGACACACUGGAAUGAAGAAUGAGCGCAUCUGAUUUAUAAAAAUGAUCCUGUGAAGAAACAUGUACGGUUGCCAGGUUUCAGCAAAAUAUCCCGCUACUACAUCCGAAAAAAAAAAAAAAAAAAAACUGUACAAGAAGACCUGAACCGAGCCCAAAGAUGCUGCUGCUGUAUGGCCAAACAGUGAAAAUGUAGUAGAGCUGGGCGAUAUAAUGACAUCAUACCUACAUCGUGAUCAAUUCUGACACAAUACACUUUUCAGAGAUAUCGCAGGUAUCGUGUUAUCUUUAUCAAACUUACUGUGUAGCAUCUUUAUAUAACUUAUUUUAUUAAGCUACAAUAUAGCUGAAGUGCACAACAACAGCGUUCCUCACCUGAUGUGCUUUUCCCUCAUGAAGCCUCAGCUUUCUUUACACUGUGACGUGAUUCACUGUAAUAUCAGCGCGGCCACUGCGACAGAAAUAGUUCUGCGGAUCGUACGUACACUUUCUGAUCUUACACGUUAGCUUCGUUUGCUGAAAAUGAUCAUUAAAAAAAGUUAUUCCUUUUUUUCCCCCCACCCUUUUUUUCCCUCACCAAUAGAGAACCACUGGUCCAUCCGUGGGUCCAGUUGGAUUGUUUUUGGUACCUGCUCAACACUGGGACCAACUGGACCUACAGGAAGAUUUCCACUGAGGUUCUGGAGUCUUAACUAAUCCUUACUAAAGGGUAAUUUUCUCGAGUUCCCCUUUAAGCAGCGCGCUGUGGAGCAUGUGAGCGCGCGUGCACGAGCAGGUUCGCGAGCACCUGCUUUUCCCUUGUGGACAAUCGUGACAUUUCGACACGUGCAUUUGUUAUGUUUCUGUCAUGUCUCCUCCCCGUUCUGUCAUUGGUGGUUGUUUCACGUGUGUCUGAAUCGCCCUGAGCCGUCAGCCAUUAAAACGCUGAUUAUGUUUGUAUAUACACCGCGCGCCCCCAACACACGGCGCAGGAUAUUGAGUCAGAUAGUAGAUUAGUUUAGAGUCCUUACGAUAGAGAACCACAGUCACAGUCCAUAGUUCCAUGUUUCGAGUCUUAGUCUUAGUCUUAGUCUUAGUUCAUAGUUCAUGUCAUGUUUAGGUUCGUUAGUUUAGUUCACGCUGCUUUCUCCGCUCCCAGUCCCUCGCUGUAGCUUAUGUUUCAUGUUUUGUAUCUCGACCCUGUUUUCCGUGACCGCGACCUUGAUUCCUGCCUCGCCCCGUGUACGCCUGUUUGCCGAUCGUCUGAACUUUGCCAGUUUUUGGAUUACGUUUACGGAUCACGUUUUGGAUUUUCCUGCCCGUGUCUCUCCUAAAUAAAACUGUUAUCCUGCACUUGCAUCCGUCCUAAUCUCCGUUACGUCACGAUACGUGACAGUAAUAGAACUAACUAGCUUCUACGAGAACCCUUUAUUUAAUAUUGUUCUAGAACCCCUUACUUAAGAUUGUUAUCGGACUUUUAGUUAAUAUAUUUCUAGAACCCCUUAGGUAAAAAUUGUUCAAAACCCCUUUAGUUAAGAUUGUUCUAGAACGCUUUAUUUCAUAUAUUUCUAGAACCCUUUAGUUAAGAAUGUUCUAGAACGUUUUAGUUAAUAUUGUUCUCGAACUUUUAGUUAAUAUAUUUCUGAGACCCAUUUAAAUUUUUUUCUAAACCCAUUUAGUUAAGAUUGUUCUAGAACCCUUUAAUUAAUAUGUUUCUAAACCCUUUAGUUAAGAUUGUCCUUUAGUUAAUAUAUUUCUAGAACCCUUUAGUUAAUUUUGUUCUAGAACC